Molecule: unclassified non-coding RNA, 391 nt
Filed under: soil metagenome
Description: partial contains 5.8S ribosomal RNA, internal transcribed spacer 2, and large subunit ribosomal RNA
Rfam family: 5.8S ribosomal RNA (bases 1-122)
Source: RNAcentral
GAUGAAGAACGCAGCGAAAUGCGAUACUUGGUGUGAAUUGCAGAAUCCCGUGAACCAUCGAGUCUUUGAACGCAAGUUGCGCCCGAAGCCAUUAGGCCGAGGGCACGCCUGCCUGGGCGUCACACGUCGUUGCCCCCCCAUCUACUCCUUCGGGAUUGCGGGGGGCGGAUGAUGGCCUCCCGUGCGCCUCGUCGCGCGGUUGGCCUAAAUGCCAAGUCCUCGGCGACGCACGCCACGACAAUCGGUGGUUGCGAAACCUCGGUUGCCUGUCGUGUGCGGUCGUCGCGCAUCGAGGGCUCGAAAAAAUUGCCGGGCUUCGGCUCGACUUUCAACGCGACCCCAGGUCAGGCGGGGUUACCCGCUGAAUCUAAGCAUAUCAAUAAGCGGAGGA